Molecule: microRNA precursor, 100 nt
Filed under: Propithecus coquereli (Coquerel's sifaka)
Lineage: Eukaryota; Metazoa; Chordata; Mammalia; Primates; Indriidae
Description: miRNA (ENSPCOG00000000185.1)
Source: RNAcentral
GAGGUGGGAGGAUGGCUUCAGCCCAGGCGUUUGAGGUUGCAGUGAGCUAUGAUCAGGGUCACUGCACUCCAGCCUGAGUGACAGAGCAAGACCCUGUCUC